AUGGAGGCGGUGGAGCCGUCGGCGGUGGUGAGCUGCGUGUGCUGCCGCCUGGAGGAGGAGUGCACCGGCGAGUACGUCGUCGGCGUGAGGGCCUACUUCGGGGGCCGGUGGCUGUGCGGGCUGUGCUCCGAGUCGGUCAAGUACGAGGCCGGCCGCAGCAAGCGCGCGGCGGCCAUGGGAAUGGAGGAGGCCGUGCAGGCGCACAUGGCCUUCUGCCGCAUGCUCCGGCGCAGCGGCCCCGCGGUGCGCGUCGCCGAGGGCAUGUGCCAGAUGCUUAGGCGCACCGCGUGCGGGAAGCACCGGGCCGCCAUCUCAUCGUCCUCGUCGCGGCGGACGACGCCGGUGCCGGUGGCGUCAGCGUCUGGACCGCACCACCGCGCGUCGGUGGCGCCGCUGUCGAUCGGUCUAUGA
RNAcentral lists this ribosomal RNA (411 nucleotides) under Triticum aestivum (bread wheat). Its description in RNAcentral is "partial small subunit ribosomal RNA". Lineage: Eukaryota; Viridiplantae; Streptophyta; Magnoliopsida; Poales; Poaceae. The record is from RNAcentral.